CUCACUCAUGCGCCAAAAUGAACGAAACGCCCCCCCCCCGGCUACUUCUUCCCCAACUUCUUCCUCUCACCCUGCAAAGUGCAAACUAACCCACCCCAUUACGUUGCCUCACAACCAAGAGAGGUAAUCACAUGGCAUUUCCUCGAGCAUAGCAUUUCUUCUUCACUCUUAACUCUUCCUCUUCUCCUCUUCACCCGCACUACAGAACUGGACUCGGGCGUUGCAUUUCCAAUCGGCAGCACUGGGAGUGGUAUUAAAUGGAGUACCACCCACCCCUGCCAGAUUGUGUUCGAAUUAUAGCUGCCUAGCAUCUGUCUACUUCAAUAGAGGUAUUGUUAUUUGACUCUAUGAGAAGUGCAAAAAUCUGUUGGGAUAUUCUAUUGCAAAAAAACUUGAUAUAUCAAAGUCAGUACUUGCUCUGCAUUAAUGCAAAAGUGUAUAUAUAACUACAUAUUAUGUGAA
Juglans regia (Persian walnut) is the source of this 462-nucleotide long non-coding RNA. RefSeq lists it as uncharacterized. The record is from RefSeq and is a predicted model, not a curated record. Lineage: Eukaryota; Viridiplantae; Streptophyta; Magnoliopsida; Fagales; Juglandaceae. The transcript is spliced from 2 exons.